Molecule: ribosomal RNA, 253 nt
Filed under: uncultured bacterium
Lineage: Bacteria
Description: partial 16S ribosomal RNA
Rfam family: Bacterial small subunit ribosomal RNA
Source: RNAcentral
GACGUAGGGUGCAAGCGUUAAUCGGAAUUACUGGGCGUAAAGCGUGCGCAGGCGGUUUUGUAAGACAGAUGUGAAAUCCCCGGGCUCAACCUGGGAACUGCAUUUGUGACUGCAAGGCUAGAGUGCGUCAGAGGGAGGUGGAAUUCCGCGUGUAGCAGUGAAAUGCGUAGAGAUGCGGAGGAACACCGAUGGCGAAGGCAGCCUCCUGGGAUGACACUGACGCUCAUGCGCGAAAGCGUGGGGAGCAAACAGG